AGCGAACAGACGAGGAGCUUGCUCCUCUGACGUUAGCGGCGGACGGGUGAGUAACACGUGGAUAACCUACCUAUAAGACUGGGAUAACUUCGGGAAACCGGAGCUAAUACCGGAUAAUAUAUUGAACCGCAUGGUUCAAUAGUGAAAGACGGUUUUGCUGUCACUUAUAGAUGGAUCCGCGCCGCAUUAGCUAGUUGGUAAGGUAACGGCUUACCAAGGCGACGAUACGUAGCCGACCUGAGAGGGUGAUCGGCCACACUGGAACUGAGACACGGUCCAGACUCCUACGGGAGGCAGCAGUAGGGAAUCUUCCGCAAUGGGCGAAAGCCUGACGGAGCAACGCCGCGUGAGUGAUGAAGGUCUUCGGAUCGUAAAACUCUGUUAUUAGGGAAGAACAAAUGUGUAAGUAACUAUGCACGUCUUGACGGUACCUAAUCAGAAAGCCACGGCUAACUACGUGCCAGCAGCCGCGGUAAUACGUAGGUGGCAAGCGUUAUCCGGAAUUAUUGGGCGUAAAGCGCGCGUAGGCGGUUUUUUAAGUCUGAUGUGAAAGCCCACGGCUCAACCGUGGAGGGUCAUUGGAAACUGGAAAACUUGAGUGCAGAAGAGGAAAGUGGAAUUCCAUGUGUAGCGGUGAAAUGCGCAGAGAUAUGGAGGAACACCAGUGGCGAAGGCGACUUUCUGGUCUGUAACUGA
Molecule: ribosomal RNA, 696 nt
Filed under: uncultured Staphylococcus sp.
Lineage: Bacteria; Bacillati; Bacillota; Bacilli; Caryophanales; Staphylococcaceae
Description: bacterial SSU rRNA
Rfam family: Bacterial small subunit ribosomal RNA
Source: RNAcentral